RNAcentral lists this ribosomal RNA (541 nucleotides) under Enterococcus sp. D05_36. RNAcentral describes it as "bacterial SSU rRNA". It matches the Rfam family "Bacterial small subunit ribosomal RNA", at positions 341 to 873 of the family's 1533-position model. Lineage: Bacteria; Bacillati; Bacillota; Bacilli; Lactobacillales; Enterococcaceae. The record is from RNAcentral.
ACGGGAGGCAGCAGUAGGGAAUCUUCGGCAAUGGACGAAAGUCUGACCGAGCAACGCCGCGUGAGUGAAGAAGGUUUUCGGAUCGUAAAACUCUGUUGUUAGAGAAGAACAAGGAUGAGAGUAACUGUUCAUCCCUUGACGGUAUCUAACCAGAAAGCCACGGCUAACUACGUGCCAGCAGCCGCGGUAAUACGUAGGUGGCAAGCGUUGUCCGGAUUUAUUGGGCGUAAAGCGAGCGCAGGCGGUUUCUUAAGUCUGAUGUGAAAGCCCCCGGCUCAACCGGGGAGGGUCAUUGGAAACUGGGAGACUUGAGUGCAGAAGAGGAGAGUGGAAUUCCAUGUGUAGCGGUGAAAUGCGUAGAUAUAUGGAGGAACACCAGUGGCGAAGGCGGCUCUCUGGUCUGUAACUGACGCUGAGGCUCGAAAGCGUGGGGAGCAAACAGGAUUAGAUACCCUGGUAGUCCACGCCGUAAACGAUGAGUGCUAAGUGUUGGAGGGUUUCCGCCCUUCAGUGCUGCAGCUAACGCAUUAAGCACUCCGCC